UCAACGUGUCUCUCCUCAAGUCUGCAAACUUUCACCGUGGUUUUCUCCUAGGUUUAAGGCCAGCUGCUUUCUGGGCACUUGGGGGUAGCAAGACGAAAAGCAGCUUAAGCUUUGGCCUCAGGGAACGGACAGCGGCAUGCAGGGGAAAGUAUGACACAAGCUGCCUUUUAGGACAUUCCCCCUGAAGGUAAUAUUACUGUCCAGCGGAAAUAUAUUCAUGGGAAGCAGGAAUGUGAAACCAACCUCUAACCCCUGGGGCCCACGUCCAGACUCUGCCUUCCCUGCUUGUAUGCUGUAUUUAUGAUAACUGUUUCCUGAUUUUGCAGGCUGAACUAGUGUUUCUGGUUCUUCCCUCAGGGAGCAAUCAUCUAACCCUGCCUUUUCCCUCUUUCCUAAUUUGAGAAUCCUUAUUCUCUCUCUUAUAACCCAAAGCAGAAUUCGAGAUUAAAUAUGUACUUUUCAUGUGCCUCAGUUUCUUGAAUAAAUGAAUAAAUCAAAACAUUUUUUUUCUGGAUUCCCUUUUCUCAAGGGCUUAACACUCUGAAAAAACUACUUCUGAUCUGAAAUAUUUAUCACUGAUGAUGGUUUAAAGCAUGUGCUCAUAACAUUUUUGUUGCCAUGGACCCUGUCAGCAAUUAGUGAAAUCU
This is a non-coding RNA of Phascolarctos cinereus (koala), 647 nucleotides long. The record is from RefSeq and is a predicted model, not a curated record. Lineage: Eukaryota; Metazoa; Chordata; Mammalia; Diprotodontia; Phascolarctidae.